UCCGGAGGGUGCAAUCGUUGUCCGGAUUUAUUGGGUUUAAAGGGUGCGUAGGCGGGUUAUUAAGUCAGUGGUGAAAGUCUGCGGCUCAACCGCAGGAGUGCCAUUGAUACUGGUAGUCUUGAGUACAGUAGAGGUAGGCGGAAUUUAUGGUGUAGCGGUGAAAUGCAUAGAUACCAUAAAGAACACCGAUAGCGUAGGCAGCUUACUAUGCUGUAACUGACGCUGAGGCACGAAAGCGUGGGGAUAGAACAGG
This 253-nucleotide ribosomal RNA is filed under the name uncultured bacterium. RNAcentral describes it as "partial 16S ribosomal RNA". It matches the Rfam family "Bacterial small subunit ribosomal RNA", at positions 524 to 776 of the family's 1533-position model. The record is from RNAcentral.